UACAGAGGUCCCGAGCGUUAGGCGGAAUCACUGGGCUUAAAGCGUGUGUAGGCGGAGUUCUAAGUACCUUGUGAAAUCCCACGGCUCAACCGUGGAACUGCUUGGUAUACUGGUUCUCUUGAGCCACCUAGGGGCAACCGGAACAAACGGUGGAGCGGUGAAAUGCGUAGAUAUCGUUUGGAACGCCAAUGGUGAAAACAGGUUGCUGGGGGUGUGCUGACGCUGAGACACGAAAGCCAGGGGAGCAAACGGG
This 253-nucleotide ribosomal RNA is filed under the name uncultured bacterium. Its description in RNAcentral is "partial 16S ribosomal RNA". It matches the Rfam family "Bacterial small subunit ribosomal RNA", at positions 524 to 776 of the family's 1533-position model. The record is from RNAcentral.